Molecule: small nucleolar RNA, 138 nt
Organism: Drosophila melanogaster (fruit fly)
Lineage: Eukaryota; Metazoa; Arthropoda; Insecta; Diptera; Drosophilidae
Source: Ensembl
UGCAAAUGCACUCUGUGUCACAUUAAAACUAGCUUCGUGUGAUGACAAUUUGUUAGUUUGCCAGAUCAAGGAGAUGCGUCUUAUCCAUGUGGCUGAGUUCUUACCAAUUUAUUCACAUUGAAAACGCCCCUAACAUGA